This 485-nucleotide ribosomal RNA is filed under the name uncultured bacterium. RNAcentral's name for it is "partial 16S ribosomal RNA". It matches the Rfam family "Bacterial small subunit ribosomal RNA", at positions 30 to 507 of the family's 1533-position model. The record is from RNAcentral.
AUUGAACGCUGGCGGCAGGCUUAACACAUGCAAGUCGAGCGGGGAAAGGUAGCUUGCUACCUGACCUAGCGGCGGACGGGUGAGUAAUGCUUAGGAAUCUGCCUAUUAGUGGGGGACAACAUCUCGAAAGGGAUGCUAAUACCGCAUACGUCCUACGGGAGAAAGCAGGGGACCUUCGGGCCUUGCGCUAAUAGAUGAGCCUAAGUCGGAUUAGCUAGUUGGUGGGGUAAAGGCCUACCAAGGCGACGAUCUGUAGCGGGUCUGAGAGGAUGAUCCGCCACACUGGGACUGAGACACGGCCCAGACUCCUACGGGAGGCAGCAGUGGGGAAUAUUGGACAAUAGGGGGAACCCUGAUCCAGCCAUGCCGCGUGUGUGAAGAAGGCCUUUUGGUUGUAAAGCACUUUAAGCGAGGAGGAGGCUACCGAGAUUAAUACUCUUGGAUAGUGGACGUUACUCGCAGAAUAAGCACCGGCUAACUCUGUG